RNAcentral lists this ribosomal RNA (253 nucleotides) under uncultured prokaryote. RNAcentral describes it as "partial 16S ribosomal RNA". It matches the Rfam family "Bacterial small subunit ribosomal RNA", at positions 524 to 776 of the family's 1533-position model. The record is from RNAcentral.
UACAGAGGUCUCAAGCGUUGUUCGGACUCAUUGGGCGUAAAGGGUGCGUAGGCGGCGCGGUAAGUCGGGUGUGAAAUCUUGGAGCUUAACUCCGAAACUGCAUUCGAUACUGCCGUGCUUGAGGACUGGAGAGGAGACUGGAAUUCCACGUGUAGCAGUGAAAUGCGUAGAGAUGUGGAGGAACACCGAUGGCGAAGGCAGCCCCCUGGGUCAACACUGACGCUCAUGCACGAAAGCGUGGGGAGCAAACAGG